GGAGGCAUCAUUAAAAAAUGAUUAAUGUCAGAAUAAACGCACUGUUUUCUUAAAAUCAGAUGAUUAUUUUUUUUUGGUUACGCUAUCUUUUUAAAAUUGAUUUUAUUUUUAUUUUUUUCACAAAGGUGUUUAGAAAAAGGACAGUUUGUUUUUGAUAGCAGCUGACAGCCCUGCCAUGAUGUCUGCACGAUCAUGCUACAGCAUGUAUACCUCGAGUACAGAACCAGGGUAAUUUCUAAAUACCACACUACAGCGAUGGACACGUCUCAGAUGACAGCGUCUGUGGGUAAAACAGUGAAGUCUUCAUUUUACACAUGUCAUGAUUAUCUGUGAUAAAUUGGCAAUAAGUGUCUUAGAACACCAGUUGUCUAAGGGCCACACGUCCAAGAGCAGUCUGAGCUGUGGCAGUCCGAACGAGAACAGGUGGAGUGAGGAUCUUUCCCAAAUCCCUCCAAAUGGCUACUAGUGGCCUCAUUCCUACUUGGACUCCUACUUCUGGAUCCCUUGGACAAAGCGAGUUCACUCGUUCUCCUCUCCCAGAAUGAACACUGAGGCUGGCACGAGGGACAUCUUCAAGGAAGAUUUUGCAGUACUACUCAGCACAGACAUUUGCAGUUAUAUUCUGUGUGCACGAUUCAUCCUGUAGUAGACAGAAGCUGUUGGGUGCU
This is a long non-coding RNA of Polyodon spathula (Mississippi paddlefish), 668 nucleotides long. RefSeq lists it as uncharacterized. The transcript has 3 exons. Lineage: Eukaryota; Metazoa; Chordata; Actinopteri; Acipenseriformes; Polyodontidae. The record is from RefSeq and is a predicted model, not a curated record.